RNAcentral lists this ribosomal RNA (1253 nucleotides) under metagenome. Its description in RNAcentral is "bacterial LSU rRNA". It matches the Rfam family "Bacterial large subunit ribosomal RNA", at positions 1689 to 2925 of the family's 2925-position model. The record is from RNAcentral.
UUCGGGUGAACUGUGGUUAAGGAACUCGGCAAAUUGCCCCCGUAACUUCGGGAGAAGGGGGGCCAUGCCCGGUGAUCCACCUUGCGUGGUGAGCGGGGUGUGGCCGCAGAUACCAGGGGGAAGCGACUGUUUACUAAAAACACAGGUCCGUGCGAAGUCGUAAGACGCUGUAUACGGACUGACGCCUGCCCGGUGCCGGAACGUUAAGAGGACCGGUCAACCCUCACGGGUGAAGCUGAGAAUCUAAGCGCCGGUAAACGGCGGUGGUAACUAUAACCAUCCUAAGGUAGCGAAAUUCCUUGUCGGGUAAGUUCCGACCUGCACGAAUGGCGUAACGACUUCCCCACUGUCUCAACCACAGACCCGGCGAAAUUGCAGUACGAGUAAAGAUGCUCGUUUCGCGCAGCAGGACGGAAAGACCCCGGGACCUUCACUACAGCUUGGCAUUGGCGUUUGGAGCGUCUUGUGUAGGAUAGGUGGGAGACUGUGAAGCUCACACGCCAGUGUGGGUGGAGUCAUUGGUGAAAUACCACUCUGGUCGUUUCGAGCGUCUAACCCGCACCCGUGAAUCCGGGUGGGGGACAGUGCCUGGUGUAGUUUAACUGGGGCGGUUGCCUCCUAAAAGGUAACGGAGGCGCCCAAAGGUUCCCUCAGCCUGGUUGGUAAUCAGGUGGCGAGUGCAAGGGCACAAGGGAGCUUGACUGUGAGACGGACAUGUCGAGCAGGUGCGAAAGCAGGGCCUAGUGAUCCGGCGGUGGCAUGUGGAAGCGCCGUCGCUCAACGGCUAAAAGGUACCCCGGGGAUAACAGGCUGAUCUUCCCCAAGAGUCCAUAUCGACGGGAUGGUUUGGCACCUCGAUGUCGGCUCGUCGCAUCCUGGGGCUGGAGUAGGUCCCAAGGGUUGGGCUGUUCGCCCAUUAAAGCGGCACGCGAGCUGGGUUUAGAACGUCGCGAGACAGUUCGGUCCCUAUCCGCUGCGCGCGCAGGAGAUUUGAGAGGGUCUGUCCCUAGUACGAGAGGACCGGGACGGACGAACCUCUGGUGUGCCAGUUGUCAUGCCAAUGGCACGGCUGGUUGGCUACGUUCGGACGGGAUAACCGCUGAAAGCAUCUAAGCGGGAAGCCUUCCUCGAGAUGAGAUCUCCCACCCCCAUGAGGGGUGUAAGGCCCCCAGCUAGACCACUGGGUUGAUAGGCCAGAAAUGGAAGCACCGUAAGGUGUGGAGUUGACUGGUACUAAUAGGCCGAGCGGCUGG